UGCAGGGGUAAAAACUCCGGUGGUACAGGAUGGACCCGCGUCUGAUUAGCUGGUUGGUGAGGUAACGGCUCACCAAGGCGACGAUCAGUAGCCGGCUUGAGAGAGUGAACGGCCACAUUGGGACUGAGACACGGCCCAAACUCCUACGGGAGGCAGCAGUGGGGAAUAUUGCACAAUGGGGGAAACCCUGAUGCAGCGACGCCGCGUGAGUGAAGAAGUAUCUCGGUAUGUAAAGCUCUAUCAGCAGGGAAGAAAAUGACGGUACCUGACUAAGAAGCCCCGGCUAACUACGUGCCAGCAGCCGCGGUAAUACGUAGGGGGCAAGCGUUAUCCGGAAUUACUGGGUGUAAAGGGUGCGUAGGUGGUAUGGCAAGUCAGAAGUGAAAACCCAGGGCUUAACUCUGGGACUGCUUUUGAAACUGUCAGACUGGAGUGCAGGAGAGGUAAGCG
This 450-nucleotide ribosomal RNA is filed under the name uncultured bacterium. Its description in RNAcentral is "bacterial SSU rRNA". It matches the Rfam family "Bacterial small subunit ribosomal RNA", at positions 193 to 663 of the family's 1533-position model. The record is from RNAcentral.